GGAGGAGUGGCAGAGUGGCCGAAUGCGCUGGUCUUGAAAACCAGAAACGGGAAACUGUUCGUGGGUUCGAAUCCCACCUCCUCCGCCA
This 88-nucleotide transfer RNA is filed under the name Massilia sp. YIM B02763. Its description in RNAcentral is "tRNA-Ser". It matches the Rfam family "tRNA". From Rfam's summary of the family: Transfer RNA (tRNA) molecules are approximately 80 nucleotides in length. Their secondary structure includes four short double-helical elements and three loops (D, anti-codon, and T loops). Lineage: Bacteria; Pseudomonadati; Pseudomonadota; Betaproteobacteria; Burkholderiales; Oxalobacteraceae. The record is from RNAcentral.